RNAcentral lists this ribosomal RNA (1343 nucleotides) under uncultured bacterium. Its description in RNAcentral is "16S ribosomal RNA". It matches the Rfam family "Bacterial small subunit ribosomal RNA", at positions 28 to 1378 of the family's 1533-position model. The record is from RNAcentral.
GACGAACGCUGGCGGCGUGCUUAACACAUGCAAGUCGAACGGAAAGGCCCUGCUUUUGUGGGGUGCUCGAGUGGCGAACGGGUGAGUAACACGUGAGUAACCUGCCCUUGACUUUGGGAUAACUUCAGGAAACUGGGGCUAAUACCGGAUAGGAGCUCCUGCUGCAUGGUGGGGGUUGGAAAGUUUCGGCGGUUGGGGAUGGACUCGCGGCUUAUCAGCUUGUUGGUGGGGUAGUGGCUUACCAAGGCUUUGACGGGUAGCCGGCCUGAGAGGGUGACCGGCCACAUUGGGACUGAGAUACGGCCCAGACUCCUACGGGAGGCAGCAGUGGGGAAUAUUGCACAAUGGGCGGAAGCCUGAUGCAGCAACGCCGCGUGCGGGAUGACGGCCUUCGGGUUGUAAACCGCUUUCGCCUGUGACGAAGCGUGAGUGACGGUAAUGGGUAAAGAAGCACCGGCUAACUACGUGCCAGCAGCCGCGGUGAUACGUAGGGUACGAGCGUUGUCCGGAUUUAUUGGGCGUAAAGGGCUCGUAGGUGGUUGAUCGCGUCGGAAGUGUAAUCUUGGGGCUUAACCCUGAGCGUGCUUUCGAUACGGGUUGACUUGAGGAAGGUAGGGGAGAAUGGAAUUCCUGGUGGAGCGGUGGAAUGCGCAGAUAUCAGGAGGAACACCAGUGGCGAAGGCGGUUCUCUGGGCCUUUCCUGACGCUGAGGAGCGAAAGCGUGGGGAGCGAACAGGCUUAGAUACCCUGGUAGUCCACGCUGUAAACGGUGGGUACUAGGUGUGGGGUCCAUUCCACGGGUUCCGUGCCGUAGCUAACGCUUUAAGUACCCCGCCUGGGGAGUACGGCCGCAAGGCUAAAACUCAAAGGAAUUGACGGGGCCCCGCACAAGCGGCGGAGCAUGCGGAUUAAUUCGAUGCAACGCGUAGAACCUUACCUGGGUUUGACAUGGAUCGGGAGCGCUCAGAGAUGGGUGUGCCUCUUUUGGGGUCGGUUCACAGGUGGUGCAUGGCUGUCGUCAGCUCGUGUCGUGAGAUGUUGGGUUAAGUCCCGCAACGAGCGCAACCCUUGUUCACUGUUGCCAGCACGUUAUGGUGGGGACUCAGUGGAGACCGCCGGGGUCAACUCGGAGGAAGGUGGGGAUGACGUCAAGUCAUCAUGCCCCUUAUGUCCAGGGCUUCACGCAUGCUACAAUGGCUGGUACAGAGAGUGGCGAGCCUGUGAGGGUGAGCGAAUCUCGGAAAGCCGGUCUCAGUUCGGAUUGGGGUCUGCAACUCGACCUCAUGAAGUCGGAGUCGCUAGUAAUCGCAGAUCAGCAACGCUGCGGUGAAUACGUUCCCGGG